RNAcentral lists this long non-coding RNA (542 nucleotides) under Citrus sinensis (sweet orange). RNAcentral describes it as "long non-coding RNA (CSIN_LNC004516)". The record is from RNAcentral. Lineage: Eukaryota; Viridiplantae; Streptophyta; Magnoliopsida; Sapindales; Rutaceae.
CUGUAACGCAUGUGAAUUGAUGUGAUCAUGUCAAUCUUUAUUUAUAUAGUUUUUUUUUUUCAUUAGGAUGGUCAUAAGCAAUGUAGCCCCAGGGGCACGGUGGCGUGGGUUUCAGCCUCUUUGUUUGGUGGUGCUCACACUAUUACUUCUUUUUUGUUUUUUAAGUCCUCAUAAGGUGUGAAAGUAAUCGAAUAAUUUUGUUUGUCUGCUCACCUGUGCCUUGCAUAUUUCAGCUACCUGGCUUCGCACUUGCAGAUAGUUGUCAGAGGAUUUAUAAGAUUUUGUAAGAAUAUCAAUUGCUUCCUCGGUCGGUAUUACUCCAGCUAAACCUUCUUCGAUAUCCUGUUGAUAACAAAAGCCUAUAAGAUCUUUCAUUAACUUUUUUUUUUUCUUUUUGUCAGGUUUGUGUUGAAUUGGAUAAGUCACUUCACCUAAAAGCGUGCACGCAAGCAUGCAAGCAAGUAUACAAUAAAGAAAAAAAUCUUACCUCCUGGAAAUCUUUGUUUAUAGUUUUAAGAAAGUGAUCGGAUGGAUUCUGGAGG